This 1081-nucleotide long non-coding RNA is filed under the name Brachypodium distachyon (stiff brome). RNAcentral's name for it is "long non-coding RNA (BDIS_LNC002128)". Lineage: Eukaryota; Viridiplantae; Streptophyta; Magnoliopsida; Poales; Poaceae. The record is from RNAcentral.
GUUUCGGAUUAGACUCAGUUGGGUUGGUCCCCUGGAUUAGUUGUGGGGCUUGGAAACGUUGUGUCGCCCAAUCCUGCCGACACACCUUUUGUGUGUUCCUACUCGAGUGGCAAUAAGGGUUGGACGAAUGUGUACGGGUAAAUUGGCACACCCUGCAGGGAUAAAUCUUUCGGAAAGCCGUGUCCGCGGUUAUGGACGACUUGGUUGGUCAUUACUUGAUCAUAGAGAACUUAACCAACUUAAUCUCAACCACUUGACUAGUUAUUAGGGAUUAUUCUUUGGAUAUGCUUAAAACUACUUAAGUGUGAGUGUCCUUUGGAUUGCUUCCUCACAGGGUGUUGACGGGGUGAUAUGAGGAUUGUGUUGUUUGGUGUUUAGUAAUAGGUUAAUCACUUUCACCUUGGUAGACGCUUCUCAUCCUCUCAUUAGACGUUGUCAUUAGAGUGUCUCUCCAGAUAUUUUUGCUCCUUCAUAACCCCACCAUUUUUCCCUCCUUUGAGACUUGUCGCAUAAUUAAUUUAGUUCUCCCCACCAUUUUCCCCUCCUUUGCGCACCUCUUUCCUAGCCAAACCGAAUCUCGAGGACGAGAUUCAUCUUAAGGGGGUUAGGUCUGUAACAUCCCAAAAUUUCAAAACCUUUCAUAUGCAUUGCAUCUAUGAGUAUCAUGCCACAAUUGCAUUUUUUAAUUCAAAUUUGAAUAUCAAAAGGCUUUAAAAAGAUUUUAUUUCAAUUUAAACCCUAGGGUUUCACCCAUUUGAGCUUUGGAUCUUAAAACCAAUAAGGUUUAUCUAUAAAUGGGGUUUAUUGCAUAAAUGAGCUAUCACAUAAUUUUUAAGAAUUUAUUUGGAGUUGAAAAACUAUUUUAUUUUCAUAGUUAAAUAGCCCUAAAGGCAUUUAUAGGGAAAAUGUAUUUUUAUAUAUUUUAUUUGGAAGGGAAAUCACUCCCAAAAAGUGAAUCAUGAUAAAACAUGAUUUUAAAAAAUUUCUGGAAUUUAUUUGAAUCAAUUUGGAGUUCAAAAUCAAAAGAUAUCACAGAAAUCAGAAAAAGGGAAAAAAAGAAAAAAAAAGAGAAAACCGGCCC